UGCGGAGCAGGCUGGGAGGGACGACUCAGUACCAGAACGUGAGACAGCAAGGCAGUGUGUUCAAAGGGUGCCAUAAACUGUUGCUUUAUUUAAUGUGGGACGACACAGCACCAGACGUCAGACACCAAGGCACUGUUCAAAGGGUGCCAUAAACUGUUGCUUUAUUUAACGUGUUUUCGCAUAACAAGACAGUGACAGGGGCCGUGGCUGCCUGCGUGUGCUGGUUCAAGCUUGGUGCCUGCCGGGAGGUGCCUACAGGGCCACCAAGGCUAAUAUUGGUAAGAAACCCGCCCACCACUUGUCCAGCCAGAUACAAAUGUAGAGGGACAAAAGAGAAAGGCAGGAAGACCACCACCACCAGCACAGUGGAAGAAAGGUGUGAGGACGCAACAAUCAACACUGUCGACAAAGCAGACGACAUAGACACUCGUAUGUUCUACACCCAUUUUGGCACACCACAGUUUGGUGCGUGGACAGCCUGGGUGUGCUGGGUCGGCCUGACAAUGUUCGCAAUGCUCAAGCUAUGCAAGUACCACCAGCAGGAGAAUAUUCGGGUGUCAAUGGCCAGGGAACGGGCUCGCCUAGUCUCUGAUCGACACUCUCAGAUCAGCGGAUGAUCGGAUGGUUCUUGGCCGGACAGCUGCUGAGUGUUCCUGUCAAAUUUCCAAACUUGAGUUUUUUUCCUGUUGAUUUUCCUCUCUCAGGUUUUUUUUCCCAUUCAUUUUUUUUUCAUCUCAGAUUUUUUCCUCUUCUUAUUUAUUUUAUUUUUUUUCUGCUUACAUUUUUGUUUUUCUGUCAAAUUGCACCUGUUUUUGUUUUUUUCUUUUUUUCCCCUCUUGUUUUCCUAUUGAGUUUUUCUGUCUACUGUCCACCUUCCUAGCUCUCUAUCUUUUUUUUUUCUUUUCUUUUUUUUGGUGUGUGUAUGUGUGUGUUUGUAUACAUAGAUGUACAUAGUUGAGUUAUAUCCUGGAGAUGUGUGUGUGUGUGUGUGUGUGUGUGUGUGUGUGUGUGUGUGUGUGUGUGUGUAAUAGAGGGAGAGAGUGUGUUUUCAUAUCUCUCUCUCUCUCUCUCUCUCUCUCUCUCUCUCUCUCUCUCUCUCUCUCUCUCUCUCUCUCUCUCUCUCUCUCUCUCUCUCUCUCUCUCUCAUAUUUGAACAAGUAAACACAUCUUACUUUUUCACAUUGCACUUAGAAAAAAACACACACACACACACACACACACACACACACACACACACACACACACACACACACACACACACACACACACACUUAGUAUCACUGGCAUAAGUAGGUCUAUUUUUUUUUCAUCACGUAGGCUUAAUGAAAACGUUGUGAAAAGCUUUAAGUUGUUAAGUAGGUGAUGUAAAGUGUGUUGGUCGUAACUUAAGACUUCCUACCCAUUUUUUGUAUUUUUUUCUAUAUGAACAAGUUAAUAGUUAAUUUUAAAGCUAUUUUUUCUCUCAUUUCACUUGCAUUAUUCUCUCUCUCUCUCUCUCUCUCUCUCUCUCUCUCUCUCUCUCUCUCUCUCUCUCUCUCUCUCUCUCUCUCUC
This is a long non-coding RNA of Scylla paramamosain (green mud crab), 1552 nucleotides long. RefSeq lists it as uncharacterized. The transcript is spliced from 4 exons. The record is from RefSeq and is a predicted model, not a curated record. Lineage: Eukaryota; Metazoa; Arthropoda; Malacostraca; Decapoda; Portunidae.